Pistacia vera is the source of this 672-nucleotide RNA transcript. It is a transcript of the gene named anaphase-promoting complex subunit 13, with no coding region annotated. NCBI's taxonomy places the organism in Eukaryota, Viridiplantae, Streptophyta, Magnoliopsida, Sapindales, Anacardiaceae. The record is from RefSeq and is a predicted model, not a curated record. The transcript is spliced from 5 exons.
CGGAGGCAGUUGAUGUUUCAAACAAAAGGUUUCUCAUCGCACCUGCUUCAGUCUUCAAAGGAUUUUUACUUUUCGUUCUUUUGUGUCGAACAAGUCUGCAGAUCAAGUAUGUCAGAAUUAAGCCAGGGUAUACUUAUAGAUAUUUUGGACGAGGAAUGGAUGAGAGACACUCUUCCAGAUGACGAGCUUCAAUUGCCACCAGUGGUUGAUCGGCCUGAUGAUGCUGAAGACUCAAAUCAGGAGACUCAGCAAAAGAAUGAAGAUGCUUGGCAUGAUCUUGCAGUGGGGUCUCAGUGAGACUAUAGGAUGUGAAGUGUGAUCUUGCAGUGGACCCUUUUAAGGUUUCUGAUGUUUGUGAUGUUAGUUUCUAGUUCUGAGUUGUACCCAAGCACUGAUGUUUGAGUUGGAAAAUAAGGGUGCAGGAUCAGAAUAUUUAAGGUGCUGUACACUAGUAGCAAUGGUUGAAAACGGAGUAGGAGCUUUUGAAUUUGUUGACUUUGUGAAAUUUAGAGGAGUUCGUACUCUCUUAAACCAAGUGAUCAAAUAGUUUAGUUUAAUUAAAUAUUUCCUUGUUACAGUAAAAAUUUUAGCAUUAGAUUAAAUGUAUAAAGGAAAAUGAUAGAGUUACCGAAAGUUACACACCGAAUUUGUGCACCGAAUGACGUUGUAAAA